UGAUUAUUAUUGAAAUCGUUUUCCCUAUUGGCCUGAUUUUUCAAAAUGAUGGGGACGAUGAAUAAGCUCUCUCUGAUAUUU
Molecule: small nucleolar RNA, 81 nt
Organism: Lactuca sativa (garden lettuce)
Lineage: Eukaryota; Viridiplantae; Streptophyta; Magnoliopsida; Asterales; Asteraceae
Product: small nucleolar RNA Z102/R77
Source: RefSeq, a predicted model, not a curated record